Molecule: ribosomal RNA, 253 nt
Filed under: uncultured bacterium
Lineage: Bacteria
Description: partial 16S ribosomal RNA
Rfam family: Bacterial small subunit ribosomal RNA
Source: RNAcentral
UACGUAGGUGGCAAGCGUUGUCCGGAUUUACUGGGCGUAAAGAGCGCGCAGGCGGUCGUUCAAGUCGCGUGUGAAAGCCCCCGGCUCAACUGGGGAGGGUCACGCGAUACUGAUCGACUCGAAGGCAGGAGAGGGUAGUGGAAUUCCCGGUGUAGUGGUGAAAUGCGUAGAUAUCGGGAAGAACACCGAUGGCGAAGGCAGUUCUCUGGGACGGUACUGACGCUGAGACGCGAAAGCGUGGGGAGCGAACAGG